UGAGCACCUGUUUAUGCACUGCUGUUGCUAAUGAGACAGAAUCAUGUGAGGAGUGGACAGUCUGCCUUAUAGCCCAUGCUCAGUACAUAUCCUAAUGAGGAAUCGGUCCCUGGCUGUCAUUGUCUCCAUGCACUUGAGUUGGACAAUACUCUGUCCCAAAGAUGUGCCAGGUUCUCUCAUUUCUGACUAUGCCGCUCUCAGCCCAUCUAACCUCAAAUCUAACCUAAUCCUGAUGGCCCUCCCACCUUCCCAGCAUACAGGAGCAAGCAGAGAAAAUGGGCAGUCAAGUCAAAAGGAAAGGACAGCCUACAGACGCUGUUCUGUGAGUACAGUGUCCAAACCAGAAAGUCAAGAUGCCUCUUUGAGGAUCGGUCUGAAAACAAAAUACGUGAAAUCCAGGAGAGCUGGGAUAGACAACGCCGUGAAGGCAUCACGGAGAGCGUCAGGGAGCAGCUGCUGUUUCAACGCAGUGGGGACUUCACACCUGCACCUGAGGGAGCAUUCACUGAAUUUAUGUUCAUAUAUGUUCAUAUAUUAUGAUAAUAAAUAUGUUCAUAUACUUAUGUUCAAAA
Long non-coding RNA from Rhinopithecus roxellana (golden snub-nosed monkey), 572 nucleotides. RefSeq lists it as uncharacterized. The record is from RefSeq and is a predicted model, not a curated record. The transcript is spliced from 3 exons. NCBI's taxonomy places the organism in Eukaryota, Metazoa, Chordata, Mammalia, Primates, Cercopithecidae.